RNAcentral lists this ribosomal RNA (253 nucleotides) under uncultured bacterium. RNAcentral's name for it is "partial 16S ribosomal RNA". It matches the Rfam family "Bacterial small subunit ribosomal RNA", at positions 524 to 776 of the family's 1533-position model. The record is from RNAcentral.
UACGUAGGGUGCGAGCGUUAAUCGGAAUUACUGGGCGUAAAGCGUGCGCAGGCGGUUUUGUAAGCCAGAUGUGAAAUCCCCGGGCUUAACCUGGGAAUGGCAUUUGGGACUGCAAGGCUCGAGUGCGGCAGAGGAGACUGGAAUUCCUGGUGUAGCGGUGAAAUGCGCAGAUAUCGGGAGGAACACCAAUGGCGAAGGCAGCUCGCUGGGACGGUACUGACGCUGAGACGCGAAAGCGUGGGGAGCAAACAGG